AGAGUUUGAUCCUGGCUCAGGAUGAACGCUGGCGGCGUACCUAACGCAUGCAAGUCGAACGGACCUUGGUAGCAAUAUUGAGGUUAGUGGCAAACGGGUGAGUAACACGUAGGGAUCUACCUUGAAGUGGGGAAUAGCGGACCGAAAGGUUCGCUAAUACCGCAUGUGGUCGCGAGACCAAAGGAACUAGCAAUAGUUUCGCUUUAAGAGGAGCCUGCGUUCGAUCAGGUAGUUGGUGAGGUAACGGCUCACCAAGCCGAUGACCGAUAGCUGUUCUGAGAGGAAGAUCAGCCACACUGGGACUGUGACACGGCCCAGACUCCUACGGGAGGCAGCAGCGAGGAAUAUUGCACAAUGGAGGAAACUCUGAUGCAGUAACGCCGCGUGGGGGAAGAAGACCUUCGGGUUGUAAACCUCUUUUUGUAAAGACGAGUGAGGACGGUAUUUGCAGAAUAAGUCUCGGCUAACUACGUGCCAGCAGCCGCGGUAAGACGUAGGAGGCGAGCGUUAUCCGGAUUCACUGGGCGUAAAGCGCAUGUAGGCGGAUGUCUAAGUCGUGUGUUAAAGCCCCUGGCUCAACUGGGGGAGGUCAUGCGAGACUGGAUGACUUGAGGGCAACAGAGGCACGUGGAACUCCCGGUGUAGCGGUGGAAUGCGUAGAGAUCGGGAAGAACACCCGUGGCGAAGGCGGCGUGCUGGGUUGCAACUGACGCUGAGAUGCGAAAGUGUGGGGAGCAAACGGGAUUAGAUACCCCAGUAGUCC
Molecule: ribosomal RNA, 763 nt
Filed under: uncultured bacterium
Lineage: Bacteria
Description: bacterial SSU rRNA
Rfam family: Bacterial small subunit ribosomal RNA
Source: RNAcentral